GCUCGAAUCUCCUACUGACCUGCAACCCCUGCAAUGAAUUGUAAAUAUGGUAAGGACUACCAGUAUCCAAUACCCAGUCAAUCAUAUCAUAAAUAAAGAAAUUGCAAGGAGUUAUCAUAUAAAUACCUUGCCCAGCAACAGCUUGCUUCUUUCUCUGCUUAUUCGGGUCCAGGGAGGCAAUGUACUGAGGAUAGUUCCUCUUCCAGUGCCUCCGCUUCUUGCAAAAGAAGUAU
RNAcentral lists this long non-coding RNA (233 nucleotides) under Elaeis guineensis (African oil palm). RNAcentral's name for it is "long non-coding RNA (EGUI_LNC053478)". The record is from RNAcentral. Lineage: Eukaryota; Viridiplantae; Streptophyta; Magnoliopsida; Arecales; Arecaceae.